CCUACGGGGGGCAGCAGUGGGGGAUAUUGCACAAUGGGGGAAACCCUGAUGCAGCGACGCCGCGUGGGCGAAGAAGUAUUUCGGUAUGUAAAGCCCUAUCAGCAGGGAAGAAGAAAUGACGGUACCUGAGUAAGAAGCACCGGCUAAAUACGUGCCAGCAGCCGCGGUAAUACGUAUGGUGCAAGCGUUAUCCGGAUUUACUGGGUGUAAAGGGAGCGCAGGCGGCACGGCAAGCCUGGAGUGAAAGGCGGGGGCUCAACCCCCGGACUGCUCUGGAAACUGUACGGCUGGAGUGCAGGAGAGGG
RNAcentral lists this ribosomal RNA (305 nucleotides) under uncultured bacterium. RNAcentral describes it as "bacterial SSU rRNA". It matches the Rfam family "Bacterial small subunit ribosomal RNA", at positions 338 to 658 of the family's 1533-position model. The record is from RNAcentral.